Molecule: ribosomal RNA, 497 nt
Filed under: uncultured bacterium
Lineage: Bacteria
Description: partial 16S ribosomal RNA
Rfam family: Bacterial small subunit ribosomal RNA
Source: RNAcentral
GAUGAACGCUGGCGGCGUGCCUAAUACAUGCAAGUCGAGCGAACGGACGAGAAGCUUGCUUCUCUGAUGUUAGCGGCGGACGGGUGAGUAACACGUGGAUAACCUACCUAUAAGACUGGGAUAACUUCGGGAAACCGGAGCUAAUACCGGAUAAUAUUUUGAACCGCAUGGUUCAAAAGUGAAAGACGGUCUUGCUGUCACUUAUAGAUGGAUCCGCGCUGCAUUAGCUAGUUGGUAAGGUAACGGCUUACCAAGGCAACGAUGCAUAGCCGACCUGAGAGGGUGAUCGGCCACACUGGAACUGAGACACGGUCCAGACUCCUACGGGAGGCAGCAGUAGGGAAUCUUCCGCAAUGGGCGAAAGCCUGACGGAGCAACGCCGCGUGAGUGAUGAAGGUCUUCGGAUCGUAAAACUCUGUUAUUAGGGAAGAACAUAUGUGUAAGUAACUGCGCACAUCUUGACGGUACUUAAUCAGAAAGCCACGGCUAACUACGUG